GGGGGGCGCGGCCGCGGGCCGGGGGUGUGCCGGGCCCCGGGCAGGACUGCCCCUCCCGGCCCGAAGGAAGUGCCGCCGGAAUUCCUUGAGCCGGAGCGGAGGAGGGAGGAAAGAGGACGGACGGUGGGCGGAGGGGCAGCGGGUCCGAGCGUGGCCCCGCGCGGCCUGAGCACGGGUCAGGCCGGGGGAGCGUGGGAGCCGACCGCCUGUCACGGGGCCGGGGGCCGCCGGGAGAAGGCGGUGGGUGCGGGACAGCGUGUGGCCUCGGGGCCGGGCCUCCGGCGUCGGCUCCAGGAAGGGCGGCCCCGCACUUGUCAGCCCGCACAUGUGUGCAGAGGCCGCCGUGCACGAGGCGCAGGCCGGCCCUUUGUGCCAGAGAAAUAGUCCACUACCGGAGCAGAUCAUCAUUUAUGGAGCAUCUACCAUGAUUUGGGCAAAUGUCCAAGCCUGACAGAGAAAACAGAAAGAGAAGCCUUUCUCUGGAUAAAGAAAGCUCUUAUCCUCAGCUUGCCUCCCCCUCACACUGUCCCAGAUCUGUACUUGGAGAAAGAGAAAUUAAGAGGGUCCAACCCACCCAGUGUCUGGGAGAGGAAUAAAGACACUUCUCAUCCUCAAAGACUUGAAAACAAGAGGCUCAAGAGAGAACCCUACCAGUUUGAAACCUUGGAGCUGCCACUGGAACCAGGAAAAUCCUUCAGAAUUGAACUUACUUUUUAUUUCAUGAUAUUAAUACUUUGUACCAUUAAAAAGUCGUACUUUA
Molecule: long non-coding RNA, 760 nt
Organism: Canis lupus familiaris (dog)
Lineage: Eukaryota; Metazoa; Chordata; Mammalia; Carnivora; Canidae
Exons: 2
Source: RefSeq, a predicted model, not a curated record